This 498-nucleotide ribosomal RNA is filed under the name Triticum aestivum (bread wheat). Its description in RNAcentral is "partial small subunit ribosomal RNA". Lineage: Eukaryota; Viridiplantae; Streptophyta; Magnoliopsida; Poales; Poaceae. The record is from RNAcentral.
AUGCACCGGGCACGGACGCGGUGGUGGAGGAGCCGCAAGUUCCGGCUCGACGUCCACUGCGUCGUCCGCGGGCUCCAGUACCUCGUCCGCGUACAGGUUUGGAGUGGCCGGUCCGGCAAGAAUCCAGGCCGGGAGCGGCGCCGCCGCCGGCAUGGCCGGUUCGGGCGGAGCAUUAAAAGGCCCAGCACCAUCGCGACCUCGGACGCCAUGUCCAAGACGUGGUCCACGGCGACGGAAACCGUUCCGGCGGCCUCCGAACCGGCGCAGAGCACGGGCGUGGCGGUUGUGGCGGCGAAGUCCACCAACACCAUGGCGACGGCGACGGCCCUGUCAGCGUCUACCGCCGCUACGAACAAGGUGCAGGAAGAAGGACAGGAGACCACGAGGCAUCCUCUCACCUUUUCCUUUCUUCCCUUCUGGCUCUCUUUUCCGGCGACUGUCGCCGGCGUGAUUUGCCUAUGGGUGCUCUGGGCAGAGACAAGUGCUGAUAACGUGUGA